UGUGUUUGAUCCUGGCUCAGAUUGAACGCUGGCGGCAUGCCUUACACAUGCAAGUCGAACGGCAGCACGGGGGCAACCCUGGUGGCGAGUGGCGAACGGGUGAGUAAUACAUCGGAACGUGUCCUGUAGUGGGGGAUAGCCCGGCGAAAGCCGGAUUAAUACCGCAUACGAUCUACGGAAGAAAGCGGGGGAUCGCAAGACCUCGCGCUAUAGGGGCGGCCGAUGGCAGAUUAGCUAGUUGGUGGGGUAAAGGCCUACCAAGGCGACGAUCUGUAGCUGGUCUGAGAGUGACGACCAGCCACACUGGGACUGAGACACGGCCCAGACUCCUACGGGAGGCAGCAGUGGGGAAUUUUGGACAAUGGGGGAAACCCUGAUCCAGCAAUGCCGCGUGUGUGAAGAAGGCCUUCGGGUUGUAAAGCACUUUUGUCCGGAAAGAAAACUUCUGCCCUAAUACGGUGGGAGGAUGACGGUACCCGGAAGAAUA
This 487-nucleotide ribosomal RNA is filed under the name bacterium PMB19. RNAcentral's name for it is "bacterial SSU rRNA". It matches the Rfam family "Bacterial small subunit ribosomal RNA", at positions 1 to 488 of the family's 1533-position model. The record is from RNAcentral.